GCUCAACCGGGGAGGGUCAUUGGAAACUGGGGAACUUGAGUGCAGAAGAGGAGAGUGGAAUUCCACGUGUAGCGGUGAAAUGCGUAGAGAUGAGGAGGAACACCAGUGGCGAAGGCGACUCUCUGGUCUGUAACUGACGCUGAGGCGCGAAAGCGUGGGGAGCGAACAGGAUUAGAUACCCUGGUAGUCCACGCCGUAAACGAUGAGUGCUAAGUGUUAGAGGGUUUCCGCCCUUUAGUGCUGCAGCAAACGCAUUAAGCACUCCGCCUGGGGAGUACGGUCGCAAGACUGAAACUCAAAGGAAUUGACGGGGGCCCGCACAAGCGGUGGAGCAUGUGGUUUAAUUCGAAGCAACGCGAAGAACCUUACCAGGUCUUGACAUCCUCUGACAACCCUAGAGAUAGGGCUUCCCCUUCGGGGGCAGAGUGACAGGUGGUGCAUGGUUGUCGUCAGCUCGUGUCGUGAGAUGUUGGGUUAAGUCCCGCAACGAGCGCAACCCUUGAUCUUAGUUGCCAGCAUUCAGUUGGGCACUCUAAGGUGACUGCCGGUGACAAACCGGAGGAAGGUGGGGAUGACGUCAAAUCAUCAUGCCCCUUAUGACCUGGGCUACACACGUGCUACAAUGGGCAGAACAAAG
This 637-nucleotide ribosomal RNA is filed under the name uncultured bacterium. RNAcentral describes it as "bacterial SSU rRNA". It matches the Rfam family "Bacterial small subunit ribosomal RNA", at positions 607 to 1244 of the family's 1533-position model. The record is from RNAcentral.